This 475-nucleotide ribosomal RNA is filed under the name uncultured Desulfobacteraceae bacterium. RNAcentral's name for it is "bacterial SSU rRNA". It matches the Rfam family "Bacterial small subunit ribosomal RNA", at positions 908 to 1382 of the family's 1533-position model. The record is from RNAcentral. Lineage: Bacteria; Pseudomonadati; Thermodesulfobacteriota; Desulfobacteria; Desulfobacterales; Desulfobacteraceae.
AAUUGACGGGGCCCGCACAAGCGGUGGAGCAUGUGGUUUAAUUCGACGCAACGCGAAGAACCUUACCUGGAUUUGACAUCCCCGGGAAUCUUUCUGAAAGGAUUGAGUGCCCUUCGGGGAGCCCGGUGACAGGUGCUGCAUGGCUGUCGUCAGCUCGUGUCGUGAGAUGUUGGGUUAAGUCCCGCAACGAGCGCAACCCUUAUCUUUAGUUACCAUCAUUAAGUUGGGGACUCUAAAAGAUACUGCCCCGGUUAACGGGGAGAAGGUGGGGAUGACGUCAAGUCCUCAUGGCCUUUAUGUCCAGGGCUACACACGUGCUACAAUGGGUUGUACAAAGGGUUGCGAACUCGCGAGAGUAAGCCAAUCCCAAAAAGCAACUCUUAGUUCGGAUUGGAGUCUGCAACUCGACUCCAUGAAGCUGGAAUCGCUAGUAAUCGUGGAUCAGCAUGCCACGGUGAAUACGUUCCCGGGCCUU